This 511-nucleotide ribosomal RNA is filed under the name Prymnesium parvum. Its description in RNAcentral is "partial Bacterial large subunit ribosomal RNA". It matches the Rfam family "Bacterial large subunit ribosomal RNA", at positions 606 to 1118 of the family's 2925-position model. Lineage: Eukaryota; Haptophyta; Prymnesiales; Prymnesiaceae. The record is from RNAcentral.
UGUUGUAUAAUGGGUCAUCGACUUGGUCUCACAAGCAAGCUUAAGCCGUUAGGUGUAGGCGUAGCGAAAGCGAGUCUUAAUAGGGCGUUGAGUUUGUGGGAUCAGACCCGAAACCGAGUGAUCUAGGCAUGGCCAGGUUGAAGAUAAGGUAACACUUAUUGGAGGACCGAACCCACAUCCGUUGAAAAGGAUCGGGAUGAGCUGUGCCUAGGGGUGAAAGGCCAAUCAAACUCGGAGAUAGCUGGUUCUCUGCGAAAUCUAUUUAGGUAGAGCGUCAUAUGAAUACCCUGGGGGGUAGAGCACUGGAUGGACUAGGGGGCCGCGAGGCUUACCAAAUCUAACCAAACUCCGAAUACCCAGGAGUACUGUAUGGCAGACAGACGGUCGGUGAUAACGUCGAUCGUCAAGAGGGAAACAACCCAGACCUACAGCUAAGGUCCCCAAAUGAUAACUAAGUGUGAAAGGAUGUAGGAAUUCCAUGACAACCAGGAUGUUGGCUUAGAAGCAGCCA